RNAcentral lists this unclassified non-coding RNA (208 nucleotides) under Hevea brasiliensis (rubber tree). The record is from RNAcentral. Lineage: Eukaryota; Viridiplantae; Streptophyta; Magnoliopsida; Malpighiales; Euphorbiaceae.
UCUCCGGCACCUCAGGGAUGGUGGAAAGAGCUCCAGACUUAUCAUAAACGACGUAGUAUUCAUGGCCCGGUCGACCUUUACUACCAAAUAUGCCGCUAGAAUUCUGUUUAGACUUGAACAUGGAUUUCAAGAACUUGUUAAGUGACCGAGAAAUUUUAGAGGUUUUCUUUGAGACAGAAGGAGCAAGAGAAAGAGGAAGAGGAGGCUG